GACGAACGCUGGCUGCGUGCUUAACACAUGCAAGUCGAACGCUGAAGCUCUGGUGCUUGCACCGGGGUGGAUGAGUGGCGAACGGGUGAGUAACACGUGAGUAACCUGCCCCUGACUUCGGGAUAAGCCCGGGAAACUGGGUCUAAUACCGAAUAUGACCGUUCCUCGCAUGAGGGAUGGUGGAAAGUUUUUUCGGUUGGGGAUGGGCUCGCGGCCUAUCAGCUAGAUGGUGGGGUAAUGGCCCACCAUGGCGACGACGGGUAGCCGGCCUGAGAGGGCGACCGGCCACACUGGGACUGAGACACGGCCCAGACUCCUACGGGAGGCAGCAGUGGGGAAUAUUGCACAAUGGGGGAAACCCUGAUGCAGCGACGCAGCGUGCGGGAUGACGGCCUUCGGGUUGUAAACCGCUUUCAGCAGGGAAGAAGCCCCUUGGGGUGACGGUACCUGCAGAAGAAGUACCGGCUAACUACGUGCCAGCAGCCGCGGUAAUACGUAGGGUACGAGCGUUGUCCGGAAUUAUUGGGCGUAAAGAGCUCGUAGGUGGUUGGUCACGUCUGCUGUGGAAACGCAACGCUUAACGUUGCGCGUGCAGUGGGUACGGGCUGACUAGAGUGCAGUAGGGGAGUCUGGAAUUCCUGGUGUAGCGGUGAAAUGCGCAGAUAUCAGGAGGAACACCGGUGGCGAAGGCGGGACUCUGGGCUGUAACUGACACUGAGGAGCGAAAGCAUGGGGAGCGAACAGGAUUAGAUACCCUGGUAGUCCAUGCCGUAAACGUUGGGCACUAGGUGUGGGGGACAUUCCACGUUCUCCGCGCCGUAGCUAACGCAUUAAGUGCCCCGCCUGGGGAGUACGGUCGCAAGGCUAAAACUCAAAGGAAUUGACGGGGGCCCGCACAAGCGGCGGAGCAUGCGGAUUAAUUCGAUGCAACGCGAAGAACCUUACCAAGGCUUGACAUACACCAGACCGGGCUGGAAACAGUCCUUCCCCUUUGGGGUUGGUGUACAGGUGGUGCAUGGUUGUCGUCAGCUCGUGUCGUGAGAUGUUGGGUUAAGUCCCGCAACGAGCGCAACCCUCGUUCUAUGUUGCCAGCACGUGAUGGUGGGAACUCAUAAGAGACUGCCGGGGUCAACUCGGAGGAAGGUGGGGAUGACGUCAAAUCAUCAUGCCCUUUUAUGUCUUGCGCUUCACCCCUGCUACAUUGGCUGGUACAGAAAGAUGCUAGACCGUGAGGUUUUAUCGAAUCCCCUUAAAGCCAGUCUCAAUCCGGAUCCUAAUCUGCCAAUUCCACUACGUGAAAGUUCGAGUCGCUAUGUAUUCGCAAACCCACAACGCCUGCUGUGAAUACGUUUCCGGGGCCU
RNAcentral lists this ribosomal RNA (1361 nucleotides) under uncultured bacterium. Its description in RNAcentral is "bacterial SSU rRNA". It matches the Rfam family "Bacterial small subunit ribosomal RNA", at positions 28 to 1382 of the family's 1533-position model. The record is from RNAcentral.